UUAGGAAUUUUGGGCAAUGGGCGCAAGCCUGACCCAGCAACGCCGCGUGGGUGACGAAGGCCUUCGGGUUGUAAAGCCCUUUUCUGAGGGAAGAUGAUGACGGUACCUCAGGAAGAAGCACCGGCUAACUACGUGCCAGCAGCCGCGGUAAUACGUAGGGUGCGAGCGUUGCCCGGAUUUAUUGGGCGUAAAGGGCGCGUAGGCGGCCACGCACGUCCGUUGUGAAAUCGCUCGGCUCAACUGGGCGGGGUCAGCGGAUACGGUGUGGCUGGAGCAAGCUAGGGGGCAAUGGAAUUCCCGGUGUAGUGGUGGAAUGCGUAGAUAUCGGGAGGAACACCAGUGGCGAAGGCGGUUGCCUGGAGCUUUGCUGACGCUGAGGCGCGAAAGCGUGGGGAGCGAUCCGGAUUAGAUACCCGCGUAGUCC
RNAcentral lists this ribosomal RNA (424 nucleotides) under uncultured bacterium. RNAcentral describes it as "bacterial SSU rRNA". It matches the Rfam family "Bacterial small subunit ribosomal RNA", at positions 355 to 796 of the family's 1533-position model. The record is from RNAcentral.